This 28-nucleotide small RNA is filed under the name Bombyx mori (domestic silkworm). RNAcentral describes it as "ovarian small RNA-979". Lineage: Eukaryota; Metazoa; Arthropoda; Insecta; Lepidoptera; Bombycidae. The record is from RNAcentral.
CAGAUGGUCGUUACGUUGUGGAGUCAAC